ACACGACUACAUUAGAUACCCGCGUAGUCCUAGCCGUAAACGAUACUCGCUAGGUGUCGGCCACGGUGCGACCGUUGUCGGUGCCGUAGGGAAGCCGUGAAGCGAGCCACCUGGGAAGUACGGCCGCAAGGCUGAAACUUAAAGGAAUUGGCGGGGGAGGCACAACAACGGGUGGAGCUUGCGGUUUAAUUGGAUUCAACGCCGGAAAUCUUACCGGGACCGACAGCAACAUGAAGGCCAAGCUGAAGACUUUGCCGGAUUAGCUG
Molecule: ribosomal RNA, 266 nt
Filed under: uncultured archaeon
Lineage: Archaea
Description: partial 16S ribosomal RNA
Rfam family: Archaeal small subunit ribosomal RNA
Source: RNAcentral